GACGAACGCUGGCGGCGUGCUUAACACAUGCAAGUCGAACGGAAAGGCCUCAGCUUGCUGGGGUACUCGAGUGGCGAACGGGUGAGUAACACGUGGGUGAUCUGCCUUGCACUCUGGGAUAAGCUUGGGAAACUGGGUCUAAUACCGGAUAUGAACUGCCUUUAGUGUGGUGGUUGGAAAGUUUUUUCGGUGCAAGAUGAGCUCGCGGCCUAUCAGCUUGUUGGUGGGGUAAUGGCCUACCAAGGCGUCGACGGGUAGCCGGCCUGGGAGGGUGUACGGCCACAUUGGGACUGAGAUACGGCCCAGACUCCUACGGGAGGCAGCAGUGGGGAAUAUUGCACAAUGGGCGGAAGCCUGAUGCAGCGACGCCGCGUGGGGGAUGACGGCCUUCGGGUUGUAAACUCCUUUCGACAGGGACGAAGCUUUUUGUGACGGUACCUGUAUAAGAAGCACCGGCUAACUACGUG
This 467-nucleotide ribosomal RNA is filed under the name uncultured bacterium. RNAcentral describes it as "partial 16S ribosomal RNA". It matches the Rfam family "Bacterial small subunit ribosomal RNA", at positions 28 to 507 of the family's 1533-position model. The record is from RNAcentral.